RNAcentral lists this microRNA precursor (102 nucleotides) under Marmota monax (woodchuck). Lineage: Eukaryota; Metazoa; Chordata; Mammalia; Rodentia; Sciuridae. The record is from RNAcentral.
AGUGAAGUUGCUGGGACAUAUGGUUUCCUUUUGUUUAUCUUUUUGAGGAAUUUCCAGACUGUUUUCAAUAUGAAUGCACCAUUUGACAUUUCAAACAGCACU